RNAcentral lists this ribosomal RNA (434 nucleotides) under uncultured bacterium. Its description in RNAcentral is "partial 16S ribosomal RNA". It matches the Rfam family "Bacterial small subunit ribosomal RNA", at positions 29 to 507 of the family's 1533-position model. The record is from RNAcentral.
AGCGAACGCUGGCGGCAGGCCUAACACAUGCAAGUCGAACGAACCUUUCGGGGUUAGUGGCGGACGGGUGAGUAACCCGUGGGAACGUGCCUUUAGGUUCGGAAUAACUCAGGGAAACUUGUGCUAAUACCGAAUGUGCCCUUCGGGGGAAAGAUUUAUCGCCUUUAGAGCGGCCCGCGUCUGAUUAGCUAGUUGGUUGAGGUAUUGACUCACCAAGGCGACGAUCAGUAGCUGGUCUGAGAGGAUGAUCCGCCACAUUGGGACUGAGACACGGCCCAAACUCCUACGGGAGGCAGCAGUGGGGAAUCUUGCGCAAUGGGCGAAAGCCUGACGCAGCCAUGCCGCGUGAAUGAUGAAGGUCUUAGGAUUGUAAAAUUCUUUCACCGGGGACGAUAAUGACGGUACCCGGAGAAGAAGCCCCGGCUAACUUCGUG